Molecule: long non-coding RNA, 1329 nt
Organism: Pogoniulus pusillus (Red-fronted tinkerbird)
Lineage: Eukaryota; Metazoa; Chordata; Aves; Piciformes; Lybiidae
Exons: 2
Source: RefSeq, a predicted model, not a curated record
UCUGCCCUCAGCCUCCUGUUCUCCUGACAAAGCUACCUGUGGCCAUUUGAGCUGAUUUCUAGCUCAGAUAUAAAAAUAUUCAGAACAGUGAAACUUAGAAGUAGAAGCUCUGAGGGGAGAGGUGAACAUUCUAGGGAUUGGCCAUAGAAUGGCAACAGUGGAUAAGUUAAUAUCAUUUCACUGGAGCAUCAAGAGCUUUGUGUCUGGAAGCACAGCUUGGACCUGCCCUUUGCUGCUUCUGCCGCUUCAGCUGUGCCCACUGCUGUCUUCCCCCGCUGCUGGUUUGGCUGCUGCUGCUUUUGCUCCUUCGCUGCCACUUGACCCCUUCCCCUUCUUCCUUAAGGUUAUUACAUUUCUCUAGGAAUUUAGUCUCUUAAGCAAUACAAUGUCCCCCUGUCCUUCCAGAAAAAACCCUCCAUGCUGUGGUGAGUUUAUUCUACUGGGGGAGGGAUCCACCCUAACCCAGGUCAUUAAUUUUGGUGCUUUUCCAAACGUGAGACUCCAUCUUGGUUUGGUUUUUCUUUUUGAUUGAUAAUCAGGAUAAGGAAGUAGGGGGAAAAUUAAUUUGUUUGGUAUAUUCUGGUCCAUUAUUGCUUCGAUUUUGAUCUUAUCAGUUCAGCAGUGCUUUACCACCAUAGUGCAGUAUUAUGUGUGCUCCUUUUUUGCUCAGAUGGUUUGGAACUGGGUAAAAGCUGUGUUAAGGAAGGUUGGGAAUUUUAUGGUGGAUGUUUUAGGGUUUAGGAAUGUCACUGAAGGUGUGCUGUAUGUUACACUUGUAAUAGGUAAUUGUAAUUGUUUAAUAAAGAAACAUUUUAAUAGAGUGUUAAGUAUGCCUAGCUGCAAACGGCAGUGUAGGUACAGCUGUUGUAAAUCAGGAAAUAUGCCUAACUGCAGAGGUCAUGGUAUAUAUGGUAAUGUGCAAAGAAUAAGCUAGCUAAUUGCUAAAAAAUUCAAGGACUAAGCUUUAGGCACAUCCUUAAUUUUGAGAGAACAUGCCACAUAUGGGAUUUGGGAUGUUAACCAGCCAAAGGAAGUCCAUAUUUGGAGACGGGUUAACCAGAGGACACCUGAGGAGGACUGCUUACUUCAUCCUCAAUGACCACCAGAAGGGAAGGAAGACCCUAACCCAAAAGAAGGAACAUGCACAGAAAGGAUGGGUUUAUGUAAUUUGCAGGGCGGAACAACGCAGACAACAUAGUAUAAAUAUAGGCUAAUUAAGAGACUUGUCACGGCAGUUGGCGGAGCGGUGACUCCCCUGUCGUCCAGCGCUGUAACUUUGCUCAUAUUCUACUUGCCUAAUUGAAUAAAUUUGUAACCUGGACACUUUGA